UAGGGAAUAUUGGACAAUGGGGGCAACCCUGAUCCAGCCAUGCCGCGUGAAUGAUAAGGCCUUCGGGUUGUAAAGUUCUUUUGGUGGGGACGAUGAUGACGGUACCCACAGAAUAAGCUCCGGCUAACUUCGUGCCAGCAGCCGCGGUAAUACGAAGGGAGCUAGCGUUGUUCGGAAUUACUGGGCGUAAAGGGUGCGUAGGUGGCGUGAUAAGUCAGGUGUGAAAUCCCUGGGCUCAACCCGGGAAUUGCAUUUGAUACUAUCGCGCUUGAAUUCGGGAGAGGUAAGUGGAAUUCCCAGUGUAGAGGUGAAAUUCGUAGAUAUUGGGAAGAACACCCGUGGCGAAGGCGGCUUACUGGACCGACAUUGACACUGAGGCACGAAAGUGUGGGGAGCAAAC
Molecule: ribosomal RNA, 400 nt
Filed under: uncultured bacterium
Lineage: Bacteria
Description: bacterial SSU rRNA
Rfam family: Bacterial small subunit ribosomal RNA
Source: RNAcentral